Molecule: ribosomal RNA, 478 nt
Filed under: uncultured Planctomycetales bacterium
Lineage: Bacteria; Pseudomonadati; Planctomycetota; Planctomycetia; Planctomycetales
Description: bacterial SSU rRNA
Rfam family: Bacterial small subunit ribosomal RNA
Source: RNAcentral
UUUCGCAAUGCCCGAAAGGGUGACGAAGCGACGCCGCGUGUGGGAAGAAGGCCUUCGGGUUGUAAACCACUGUCGGGAGUUAGGAAAUGCAGGUGCGUUAAUAGCGCACUUGCUUGACUAAGGCUCCAGAGGAAGCCACGGCUAACUCUGUGCCAGCAGCCGCGGUAAUACAGAGGCGGCAAGCGUUGUUCGGAAUUAUUGGGCGUAAAGAGCACGUAGGCGGCCUUGCAAGUCAGUUGUGGAAGCCUUCCGCUUAACGGAAGAACGGCAUCUGAUACUACAGGGCUUGAGUACGGGAGGGGAGAGUGGAACUUCUGGUGGAGCGGUGAAAUGCGUAGAUAUCAGAAGGAACGCCGGCGGCGAAAGCGACUCUCUGGUCCGAAACUGACGCUGAGUGUGCGAAAGCUAGGGGAGCAAACGGGAUUAGAUACCCCGGUAGUCCUAGCCGUAAACGAUGGGCACUAAGUAGAGGGGUUUU